GCCGCCGCUCGCUCACAAAGCUACUCACUCGCUCGCUCGCCGGUGCCGACGGCUGAUCCCCAAUGCCAGCGUAGCUUGCCUACGCCGCUCACCGAUAUAGCCAUCGCUCCCUCGCGCUCCUCUAUCAGUUGGCGCGGUCGUUGCUCCUCCCCACUCCUUCUUUCCUCCACCGUGCGUGAAUUAGGCCUGGCCAGGCCUCGCGGAGGCAGCGACGCAGGUGCACAUGCCACAUGGCCGAUGUGCGAGGAAGACCUGGCCGGCGGCAUGGGUGCAUCUGGAUGCGUGCUUGUGGGGAGGCGACGGCACGGGCACCCUGGCCGGCCAGCACCAAGCCGGCGAAACAGGCGGUCUUGGCUGGCGAUGUAGGCGCCCUAGAAGCACGACUCUCUUUGAUGCUUUGUCUGAUUUUCUCAUUUCGAUUAUAUUUCUCUGAUUUUCUCAUUUCGAUUAUAUUUCUCUGAUUUUCUCCUCGAUUGAUUCGUGUGUGGAGAAGAAAAAAAACAAAUUUAUUAAUUUGGUUUUAUAUAAGUUGUUGUCUUUGGAUUUAGAUUUGUAUCGAUAUGGUGUUUUUUAUUCAUUCUCAGUGGUGAUGGUCUCGAUUUGGUACUCUACUCUUGUGCCUCUCUAUUUGUUCCUUUGUCUGGUCCGGCGGCACAUGUUUCGUAAUUGUAUUGAAUUUGAGUCUAGACGAAAUCCAUCCACUGGCGAGCUCGAUCUAUAAUUUGUAUUGAUUUUGUUUCAAAAUAGUUGAUUUGAAGAGUCAUGGUCUUAUGGAGGUAGCAAUGAAUUUAUUAGUUUGAUUUGAGAAGGAAAUGUAGUCUGAUUUGGAUUCCUAUUUUGUCUGGAUUCGAUACGUGAGCGAGUCGAAGUGGCAGACAGGACGGAGCGGAUAGAAAAAUUGGCAGACUGUAUUAUUAGGUAUAGAUAUAUGCAACGUAUAAUUAUCGGACAGCUCGAGUCCAUUAUCUUCACGCACUUCGCUUGCUUUUCCCUUUGUCCUGACUCGUGAGGAUCUGCCUUGUGUUCGUAUGGCAGCUGUACUUCAUGAUCCUGCACCAAAUAUGUAAACUCUCGGUACACCCUUUUCUUCUGACUAUAUGCACGAAGGAUUUCGUCGCUUGGUGAUCAAUGCACAACUGCUGGACUAAUGUCCAUAUACGGCAUACCACGCACAAGCUCCCGAGUCCCGUCCGUACAGGCACGGCCAGGUUCCAAACACGUGCACGUACUUAUUAAAGUAAUAUGAAUACAUAUUUCACAUCUGCAUGUAUACCGACGUGCAUACCUUUUGAUGUUCUUCAAACUUCCCUAAUUGGCCUCCUUCUAGUCACUACUGCAGUCGAUUUGAUCACUCUCGGUUCGUAACCCCCUUGUCACCACUGGAAAGCAGCAUUAAUGUGAAGACUAAAACACUGUUGUUGACACCAUUUUUGGACACGUAUCUUUGGACGCGUAUCUGGAGUUAAUGAGGCGUAGAUCGGCAGAUGCAAAAGUGGUGACUAGUUGAUAGAAGAGUUGCCGAUGAGGGUUGAUACCGAUGAUAAAACGACAGAAUAUGGCCAAAUCCAGGAGUGGUGAUGGAUCUAUGCCGAUGACUGAUGUUGAUGGUUGCCGAUGGCUAUGAGAGGUGAUUCGCCGAUGGUCACAAAGAGAGGCGCAAGAAUUGUCGAUCGGAUGGUGAUGGUGUGCCGAUCGGUUGUGGUGGAUAAAUUAAUGUUUUCCAUAGUUACUAGAGUUUGUUUUGCAUACGGAUUCCGUUCAGUUUGGAAUUCGAGUCCUAAUCGUGUCUGAUUGUAACUCUUUUAGACAGGGUAUAAAUGUAGACCCCGUAGCGAUGUAAUACACAAUCAAUCAAAUACAAGUCUUUACAUCUAUUCUAGCAGCUACUUUUUCGACGACUUCGUCAACUCGCGUAUUUUCUUUUUUAC
RNAcentral lists this long non-coding RNA (1928 nucleotides) under Sorghum bicolor (sorghum). Its description in RNAcentral is "long non-coding RNA (SBIC_LNC006918)". Lineage: Eukaryota; Viridiplantae; Streptophyta; Magnoliopsida; Poales; Poaceae. The record is from RNAcentral.